GCUACAUUUCAAUGGAGUUACUUCUCAUUCAUAUGAAGUGGUAACUCGUAAGUACAUGGAAUUGGAUUGUGCCUCCUGGUGAACUGUUCAAAUUUUCUCUAACAUGUGUAUAAAACAAUUGGGAAGCUAGGGAGCAGAAAUGACAAUAGAUGUUGCUACCUCUGGCUGAUCUAGUAAUCUUGCUAUAGAAAUUAUAUAUAGAGUAGGAAGCAUCUGGACAACCUACAUUACUAGUGGGCCAGGCGGGUCCUGCACGUGCUUGCACGUCGGGGCAGUGGCAAUGGCCCUCGCUUGCCAGCGCGUCAGGUGGCCACGGCAGAUGGCCAGGGAGGAUAGGAACCACCACAGUCUACACUAGCACGGCACCACCCUAUCCAC
RNAcentral lists this long non-coding RNA (378 nucleotides) under Sorghum bicolor (sorghum). Its description in RNAcentral is "long non-coding RNA (SBIC_LNC015116)". Lineage: Eukaryota; Viridiplantae; Streptophyta; Magnoliopsida; Poales; Poaceae. The record is from RNAcentral.